CCUACGGGUGGCAGCAGUGGGGAAUAUUGGGCAAUGGUCGCAAGCCUGACCCAGCAACGCCGCGUGAAGGAAGAAGGCUUUCGGGUUGUAAACUUCUUUUAAGGGGGAAGAGCAGAAGACGGUACCCCUUGAAUAAGCCACGGCUAACUACGUGCCAGCAGCCGCGGUAAUUCGUCGGCGGCAAGUGUUAUCCGGAUUUACUGGGUGUAACGGGGGCGCAGGCGGCGAUGCAAGCCAGGCGUGAAAGCCCGGGGCCAAACCACGGGACGGCUCUUGGAACUGCGUGGCUGGAGUGCAGGAGGGGAAGGCGGAAUUCCUGGUGUAGCGGUGAAAUGGGUAGAUAUCAGGAGGAACACCGGUGGCGAAGGCGGCCUGCGGGACUGCAACUGACGUUGAGGCCCGAAAGCGUGGGGAGCAAACAGGAUUAGAUACCCUGUAGUC
This 441-nucleotide ribosomal RNA is filed under the name uncultured bacterium. RNAcentral's name for it is "partial 16S ribosomal RNA". It matches the Rfam family "Bacterial small subunit ribosomal RNA", at positions 338 to 795 of the family's 1533-position model. The record is from RNAcentral.